GACGAACGCUGGCGGCGUGCUUAACACAUGCAAGUCGAACGGAAAGGCCCUGCUUUUGUGGGGUGCUCGAGUGGCGAACGGGUGAUUAACACGUGAGUAACCUGCCCUUGACUUUGGGAUAACUUCAGGAAACUUGGGCUAAUACCGGAUAUGAGCUCCUGCUGCAUGGUGGGGGUUGGAAAGUUUCGGCGGUUGGGGAUGGACUCGCGGCUUAUCAGCUUGUUGGUGGGGUAGUGGCUUACCAAGGCUUUGACGGGUAGCCGGCCUGAGAGGGUGACCGGCCACAUUGGGACUGAGAAACGGCCCAGACUCCUAAGGGAGGAAGCAGUGGGGAAUAUUGAACAAUGGGCGGAAGCCUGAUGCAGAAACGCCGCGUGCGGGAUGACGGACUUCGAGUUGUAAACCGCUUUCGCAUGUGACGAAGCGUGAGUGACGGUAAUGGGUAAAGAAGCACCGGCUAACUACGUG
This 468-nucleotide ribosomal RNA is filed under the name uncultured bacterium. Its description in RNAcentral is "partial 16S ribosomal RNA". It matches the Rfam family "Bacterial small subunit ribosomal RNA", at positions 28 to 507 of the family's 1533-position model. The record is from RNAcentral.